RNAcentral lists this long non-coding RNA (1410 nucleotides) under Volvox carteri. Its description in RNAcentral is "long non-coding RNA (VCAR_LNC000869)". The record is from RNAcentral. Lineage: Eukaryota; Viridiplantae; Chlorophyta; Chlorophyceae; Chlamydomonadales; Volvocaceae.
CUGUGGGUUUGAUCCCAUAUAGAAGCGGGGUAGUGGAUUGGAUUACGGUUUGGGGCGUUCAGAUUGCAGAGACUGCAUCAGCAAACCGAAGGAAGUUGUUAAUAUAAAGGAGGAGGGAUGUUUCGCAGUUGUGAAACGAGAAGGGAUGUUCCUAAUUCGUCUUUGAGGGGUUCCAUUAUAAUCCAAACCAAUCAUUUCAACACUGGGGGGACAAACUACUCCUUUUCCACGAGGCGGUAAGGGGCGUGAGACACAGUGCUAGACACAUGCAAAGCCCGGUACUGUUAAUGAUACACGCCUUACGCUUGAGGCCCCUUGUGACGGCAGUAGAGUAGCAAUACUGGUGGUGGUCAUGGAAUGUUGGUGGGGGAAGGAAGGGCCAAAGGUCCCCCGCAAGUGUUCGUUCCCCGACAAAGGGAGACGAAGUAUGAGUCACUAGGUUGUAUUCUCGGCCAGCAGAAUUUUAGGUUUCUUAUUAAGCAUUUUUAGUCAGUGUUAAGUUUUUGGCAUUUUCCUUCUAUUUUCGUUUAGUCUUAGUGUCACCUUCGGGGAAUGCGUGCCGGGUCAUCCCUCGGGUUUUCGUUAACCAAGAGCGAAGAAAACAGAAAAUAUUUUAGAACAAAAUAGAAUGCUUAAUUAAGAGAGAAAAGUUUAUAAAAUUUUAUAAUGUCAAGUAUUCGGGAGACCGAAGUGUUACCGAAGGGGAAAUUAGGUAACGCGGGGGGGGUGGCGUAGGGGAGUGGGGUGGCGAGAAAUCCGGCGUAACGCGGGUCCAGGGGUGGAUGUGUGGACUCGGGCCUCGCCUGAACUUUCAUCCCCAUACGUCACAUCACGGGUCUGUAUACUCAAGACGCAUCAUCGCCUGACAACGACGUCGGGUAACGAUACCUGAGGCCAGACCGUUGCGUUUUCAUUUCGCAACUUGUCUGCAGUUAGACUUGGUGCCGGGGGGUGUAUGGUGGGGAAGACGUCCACAGCUCAAGUAAGCGUCUUGUACAAUCAUCGAAAGGAGGUGGCAUCGCGCAUUGUAUCGCUCAUGUACCCGCCUGCCCUAAGGGCUAGCGGCUUUGGCACGGACAGUCCAUUUUUGGCUGGAAGAAUGAACUUGCACGGUCGGAACAUUAUUUAUUCUUAACUUUCAGGACCACGAACAUUUUUUUAUUCCGAAUUCGGAAUAUAUUCCGCAAAAAAAUAACGCUGCUGCCCUUAUCGGACCCUGCUGACGUUCGGUCUGCCUGCCACCGUCGCGAGUCCCGCGCUGCAGCCGCCCACAACAGACUUGUCCCGUCGGCACCAGAGCCACAGACAGAACUUCUCAUCAUUGUUUUUGUUACCCUUUUGUCAACCCAAUUAUGCACAAACACGCGCGCGUCGGCCUGGUAGCUCCAAACGCUAUGGUCAUAUUUUAUC